RNAcentral lists this microRNA (23 nucleotides) under Ciona savignyi (Pacific transparent sea squirt). RNAcentral's name for it is "csa-miR-183". Its record names the gene csa-miR-183. The record is from miRBase by way of RNAcentral. Lineage: Eukaryota; Metazoa; Chordata; Ascidiacea; Phlebobranchia; Cionidae.
UAUGGCACUAGUAGAAAUCACUG